AGCAGCCGCGGUAAUUCCAGCUCCAAUAGCGUAUAUUAAAGUUGUUGCAGUUAAAAAGCUCGUAGUUGAAUUUCGGGGUUCUACCGUUGGUCGGGCAAUAGUCUGUACUGGCGUGUAGAAUUUCUACCCUCUGGGGAACCAUCAUGUUAUUUAUUUAGCGUGGUGGGAAACCAGGACCUUUACCUUGAAAAAAUUAGAGUGUUCAAAGCAGGCUUACGUCUGAAUACAUUAGCAUGGAAUAAUAAAAUAGGACGGUGGUCCUGUUUUGUUGGUUUCUGAAUCACCGUAAUGAUUAAUAGGGAUAGUUGGGGGCAUUAGUAUUCAAUUGUCAGAGGUGAAAUUCUUGGAUUUAUUGAAGACUAACUUCUGCGAAAGCAUUUGCCAAGGAUGUUUUCAUUAAUCAAGAACGAAAGUUAGGGGAUCGAAGACGAUCAGAUACCGUCGUAGUCUUAACCAUAAACUAUGCCGACUAGGGAUCGGACGAUGUUAAUUUUUCUUGACUCGUUCGGCGCCUUACGGG
RNAcentral lists this ribosomal RNA (520 nucleotides) under uncultured Gigaspora. RNAcentral describes it as "SSU rRNA". It matches the Rfam family "Eukaryotic small subunit ribosomal RNA", at positions 569 to 1094 of the family's 1831-position model. The record is from RNAcentral. Lineage: Eukaryota; Fungi; Glomeromycota; Glomeromycetes; Diversisporales; Gigasporaceae.